CGCCCUUCGUAACAAGGUAGCUGUAGGUGAACCUGCGGAAGGAUCAUUAC
RNAcentral lists this ribosomal RNA (50 nucleotides) under Andrya cuniculi. Its description in RNAcentral is "partial 18S ribosomal RNA". RNAcentral also lists the same sequence under 27 other names. The record is from RNAcentral. Lineage: Eukaryota; Metazoa; Platyhelminthes; Cestoda; Cyclophyllidea; Anoplocephalidae.